Molecule: long non-coding RNA, 1487 nt
Organism: Phalaenopsis equestris
Lineage: Eukaryota; Viridiplantae; Streptophyta; Magnoliopsida; Asparagales; Orchidaceae
Exons: 4
Source: RefSeq, a predicted model, not a curated record
CCCUAAAUCCAGGGAAAUAUUUGCGUACGUGAAUUCGACAGAAAACUGGCGGCUAGAUGAACUGCAGAAUGCUUAGGAACGAGCAUGCUUACCUCCACCCCACUGCUUCCACUCCGUCAUCUUCGCCUGAUUCUAUUUCCUCGUUUGCUUUCUAGCUCUCGCGAGAGCACACCUUUCGAAAACCCUAAUAUCCUUUCUCCCCCACCUCUUAUUGUAUUCCUCUACUUGCCUGCUGGAGCUUGCCGGAGGCAACGAAGCUGUCGCCGGACCUUUUCUUGUUACUCUCUCAUGCCGGUAUAAUCCCCCGAAGAGCGCAUUCUCUCGCAGGAGAAUUUUGCAGGCCUGCUUAUCGUAUGAGAGGGCAUUGCGGGUGCUGAGGUCUCUCAUUUCCUGGAACACUAGCAACGAUGUUGCGUCGCUUUGGCUUUACGCUUGUAGGAAUGCUAUAUUGUAGCUGACAGAUUGCAGUCUCGAAGGUCGCAGACACUGCGGAACCGAAUGCUGUCAACGGGAAUUGAAAGGAAAACCCGCGCUCUGCUCUCGAAGACAUAGUCAUCUUUGCCGAACCUCGUUAAAUCUGUGUUUCUUUAUGAAUUUGAAUCAAUUCUUGCUUUUUCUUUGCCUUAACAUUCUUAACAAGUGGUAUCAGAGCGAUAUUUUAGGACAUAAGAGUUUGGCACACGAAGGACGAAGAAGACACGACGAGGGUGUGGCGCGGGUUCGCGGCAUUCUAUGUGGGCUUCUUCCGCAAUAGAUUGAAGAUCGCAUGACGGUUAUGCAAGAGGAUCAGUUCGGGAAGGAGCUUUUCGGUGAAGGAUUUUGUACGAAGGAAUUUGGUGACUCUCCUUAACCACCGUACCAUGCUGUUUCGUUGUCCGCUUCACUAUUUACAGCAGGGACUGCCGCCGGACAGCUCAAAUAUGUUGUCCGAUAGUUGAUUUCAUCAGUUAUCCACCUCCAAAUGUUGCCAACCUCACAUACUAAAUUUCAACAUAUCUUCGACCCAGAACAAUAUUUUCAUCUCUUUCGAAGUUAUAAUAUGCCACACAAUCUGAACAAAUGCACCUUUGUGGUCAUAUCAUACAACAUUUUCAAGUUCAUGGCUACCCAUUAUAUGGUCAAAGCUAAUCCUAAGAACAUCAAGGUGUUCAGAAUAACCACCAUCAUCCAAUAGUUACUGUUACCACCCACAUGCUGUCAAACCACCAUCAUUUAACCACAACCAUCUUAUCUCCUCUCAUUGUUGACCACUUCACCAAUAUUUUUCACCACUCUCAUAGGAAGUUCAACCAACAAUCUAAGAUCAUCCUUCUAUUAUGUAGAAGGCAUGUAAUAUUUUUAUAGUUUAUGCUUAUAUAGUGGAAUAAUUUCAACCCUGCUGAGCCCUAUGAUUUUUCUCUUUUUGGGUAUUUCAUGUAAAAAAACAUUGGUCUCUUGCAAUCGCUAUUUAUUUAUUUGUGUAAGAUCUUUGUGUAUAGCUAGUAACA